UGGGGAAUAUUGCACAAUGGGCGCAAGCCUGAUGCAGCGACGCCGCGUGGGGGAUGACGGCCUUCGGGUUGUAAACCUCUUUCGGCAAGGACGAAGAAGUGAUUUGACGGUACUUGUAGAAGAAGCGCCGGCCAACUACGUGCCAGCAGCCGCGGUAAUACGUAGGGCGCGAGCGUUGUCCGGAUUUACUGGGCGUAAAGGGCUUGUAGGCGGUUUGUCGCGUCGUUUGUGAAAUUCCGCAACUUAAUUGUGGGCGUGCAGGCGAUACGGGCAUAACUUGAGUGCUCUAGGGGAGAUUGGAAUUCCUGGUGUAGCGGUGAAAUGCGCAGAUAUCAGGAGGAACACCGGUGGCGAAGGCGGGUCUCCGGGGAGUAACUGACGCUGAGGAGCGAAAGCAUGGGUAGCGAACAGGAUUAGAUACCCUGGUAGUCCAUGCUGUAAACGGUGGGUACUAGGUGUGGGCUGCGUUUCCGCGUGGUCUGUGCCGUAGCUAACGCUUUAAGUACCCCGCCU
Molecule: ribosomal RNA, 513 nt
Filed under: uncultured bacterium
Lineage: Bacteria
Description: bacterial SSU rRNA
Rfam family: Bacterial small subunit ribosomal RNA
Source: RNAcentral